UACGUAGGGUGCGAGCGUUAAUCGGAAUUACUGGGCGUAAAGUGUGCGCAGGCGCAAAGCAAGUCGAGUGUGAAAGCCCCGGGCUUAACUUGGGAAUUGCGCUCGAAACUACUUUGCUGGAGUGUGGCAGAGGAAGGUGGAAUUCCACGUGUAGCGGUGAAAUGCGUAGAGAUGUGGAGGAACACCAAUGGCGAAGGCAGCCUUCUG
Molecule: ribosomal RNA, 207 nt
Filed under: uncultured bacterium
Lineage: Bacteria
Description: partial 16S ribosomal RNA
Rfam family: Bacterial small subunit ribosomal RNA
Source: RNAcentral